RNAcentral lists this transfer RNA (100 nucleotides) under Thermochaetoides thermophila DSM 1495. RNAcentral's name for it is "Chaetomium thermophilum var. thermophilum DSM 1495 tRNA". It matches the Rfam family "tRNA". From Rfam's summary of the family: Transfer RNA (tRNA) molecules are approximately 80 nucleotides in length. Their secondary structure includes four short double-helical elements and three loops (D, anti-codon, and T loops). Further hydrogen bonds mediate the characteristic L-shaped molecular structure. tRNAs have two regions of fundamental functional importance: the anti-codon, which is responsible for specific mRNA codon recognition, and the 3' end, to which the tRNAs corresponding amino acid is attached (by aminoacyl-tRNA synthetases). tRNAs cope with the degeneracy of the genetic code in two manners: having more than one tRNA (with a specific anti-codon) for a particular amino acid; and 'wobble' base-pairing, i.e. permitting non-standard base-pairing at the 3rd anti-codon position. Lineage: Eukaryota; Fungi; Ascomycota; Sordariomycetes; Sordariales; Chaetomiaceae. The record is from Rfam by way of RNAcentral.
GGUCGUGUGGCGCAAUGGUAGCGCGUUACUUUCCGGUUUCAAACACAGAAAUGUGUUCUCAGGCUGGUAAAGGUUCUGGGUUCGAGUCCCAGCAUGAUCG